CACCACCACCACUACCCCACUACCUUUUCCUUCAUUGCAGUGCACUAUAUUUCUCACACCCUUUGUGCUCCCUAUCCCUGUCCCUGCAGUACUCAGUUGCCUCCCAAGGGGGCGCACCUCACACUUUGAGAACAACUGUUUAAAAAAAGAACCCUGUUAAACCAUGCUGAACAAGAAAGCAGGACUAGGUGAUGAUGGAGGCAACCAGACUUAAUCAUUUUAUAAUUACGACACAGUAUGGUUACUGUACAUCUGUCAAAGUCAUCACAUUAACAUAACAUAACUACACGCCUGGUUAAGGGUCAUCAGUUUUGAAGUCCAUGACAUCCAUGUUAUAGCUGAGGUCCAGUGAACCUCAAUCUAAUAACAGAGUAGGAGUUAGAUGUCAUUUCACAUCCAAAACAGGUGGAUACACUGAGCACAGGUACAGGUACAGGUACACUCUUCCAGCAGCCACAGGCAGGAAAAUAAGAGGAAAACAGGCCUGGCUAUUAUGAAUAUGGAAUAAUUUAACACUACAGAGAGAGAGAGAGAGAGAGAGAGAGAGAGAGAGAGAGAGAGAGAGAGAGAGAGAGAGAGAGAGAUUUACCUAACCCUUUUCCUGAUGGCUAUGACACUAUAUUUACAUUUACUCAGUUGACACGCGCUUUUAUCCAAAGCAGGUAACAGUUAAACAGGGAUUUGAAUUCACACACACGCACAAGGGAUUAAACCCUUCAAGCCUGUGUGUGUGUGUGGUGUGUAUGUGUGUGUGUGUGUGUGGUGUGUAUAUGAGUGUGUGUGUGGUGUGUAUAUGGAUGUGUGUGUGUGUGUGUGUGUGUGUGUGUGUGUGUGUGUGUGUGUGUGGUGUGCAUAUGUGUGCGUGUGUGGUGUGUAUAGGAGUGUGUGUAUAGGAGUGUGUGUGUGUGUGGUGUGUAUAGGAGUGUGUGUGUGUGUGUGUGUGUGUGUGUGGUGUGUAUAGGAGUGUGUGUGUGUGUAUAGGAGUGUGUGUGUGUGUGUGUGUGUGUAUAGGAGUGUGUGUGUGUAUAGGAGUGUGUGUGUGUGUGUGUGUGUGUGGUGGCGAGUGUGUGUGUGUGUGUGUGUGUGUGUAUAGGAGUGUGUGUGUGUGUGUGUGUGUGUGUGUAUAGGAGUGUGUGUGUGUGUGUGUGUGUGUGUGUAUAGGAGUGUGUGUGUGUGUGUGUGUGUGUGUAUGUAUAGGAGUGUGUGUGUUCUCAGACUCCAGCUGUAGUGACGCUGGGAUGUUCUGACCCACUCACCUGGAUGUUGUGGUAGAGAAGAGAAGAUGCUGUGAAGUCCAGGGCCUGCCCGACAGCGCGGUGCUCGCGCGCUCCUCGUCUGCUGAGUAAAUCCGCACACUACACUCCCCGCCGCGCUUCCGGUCCUCUGAAUCCACACACACGUUCAUGGUUCAUGAUUUGCGUUUGUGUGCAGUCGGUUCAUCUGUAGUUCCUCAGCAGUGUGUGCACUGGACUGUUCCACUGACGGGCUUUAUAGCGUCGCUGUGUGUUACUAGAACCGGUCUGAUUCCGCCUCCGAAACCAGCACGAGCGCACCUGUCCUUUCCUCUGAUUGGUGGAGCGCCAGGAUCGGUCACGUGGUCUCCAGACAGGUAGGCCCGAUUUAGCUCGGCGCAGGAGCGGUGGUUGCCUUAGCAACGCGCUGCGAAUCUCUUUCCUUCUUUCAGUUCGGCUUUGUAUUGUAGUGUUUUUUUGCGAGGUGGGGAGCAUUCUUGAGGUUUCUGAACGAGCCCAACCCUUUACUACAAUGUCGCUGUUACUGCAGGAGUUUAGAGAAGCACAAGCAGCACACCUCUUUGACGUAGCUUAGGGGUUUUUUAAUUUAUUAUUAGGAGCUCGUGAAGCCAGUGCAUGCUGAUGGUGAG
Ictalurus punctatus (channel catfish) is the source of this 1882-nucleotide long non-coding RNA. NCBI's taxonomy places the organism in Eukaryota, Metazoa, Chordata, Actinopteri, Siluriformes, Ictaluridae. The record is from Ensembl.